RNAcentral lists this non-coding RNA (158 nucleotides) under Sphingorhabdus pulchriflava. Its description in RNAcentral is "6S / SsrS RNA". It matches the Rfam family "6S / SsrS RNA". From Rfam's summary of the family: E. coli 6S RNA was the first non coding RNA to be sequenced, but its function was unknown until recently. It consists of 184 nucleotides that fold into an extended hairpin structure with a large single-stranded internal bulge. The 6S RNA specifically associates with RNA polymerase holoenzyme containing the sigma70 specificity factor. Lineage: Bacteria; Pseudomonadati; Pseudomonadota; Alphaproteobacteria; Sphingomonadales; Sphingorhabdaceae. The record is from Rfam by way of RNAcentral.
GCGGGACUGCCCGGCACGAACUGAUGAGAACAUCCCUGAGGCGAUAAUAUCAUCCAAGGGAGCUAUCCCUGCCCGGGCCCUGGCCCGGCGUAUAUGGCGCCCACCUGACGUAAUGGCGUCAGAGGAUAUUCCGGAAAACGACCCAUGGUGGUUCCGCU